UUCCUACGGGUGGCAGCAGUGGGGAAUAUUGGACAAUGGGCGAAAGCCUGAUCCAGCAAUGCCGCGUGAGUGAUGAAGGCCCUAGGGUUGUAAAGCUCUUUUACCCGGGAUGAUAAUGACAGUACCGGGAGAAUAAGCUCCGGCUAACUCCGUGCCAGCAGCCGCGGUAAUACGGAGGGAGCUCGCGUUGUUCGGAAUUACUGGGCGUAAAGCGCACGUAGGCGGCUAUUCAAGUCAGGGGUGAAAGCCCGGGGCUCAACCUCGGAACUGCCCUUGAAACUGGAUGGCUAGAAUCCUGGAGAGGCGAGUGGAAUUCCGAGUGUAGAGGUGAAAUUCGUAGAUAUUCGGAAGAACACCAGUGGCGAAGGCGACUCGCUGGACAGGUAUUGACGCUGAGGUGCGAAAGCGUGGGGAGCAAACAGGAUUAGAUACCCGAGUAGUC
RNAcentral lists this ribosomal RNA (442 nucleotides) under uncultured Erythrobacteraceae bacterium. Its description in RNAcentral is "bacterial SSU rRNA". It matches the Rfam family "Bacterial small subunit ribosomal RNA", at positions 336 to 795 of the family's 1533-position model. Lineage: Bacteria; Pseudomonadati; Pseudomonadota; Alphaproteobacteria; Sphingomonadales; Erythrobacteraceae. The record is from RNAcentral.